Molecule: RNA transcript, 2706 nt
Organism: Dermacentor albipictus
Lineage: Eukaryota; Metazoa; Arthropoda; Arachnida; Ixodida; Ixodidae
Source: RefSeq, a predicted model, not a curated record
GCCUGUUUAUGUGUCGUAACAACUCUUGAGACACGUGACUUUUCAAACAUGCGCUUCAAUAUAGUCGUCCUAGUGCCAUAUCAAGAACAGACCGAGCAACGAAGGGUACGGGUUUACUAAGGAUCCACUCGAACGCUCGGAACCACAAACCCACCGUGGGAACGACGGAGUAAUAUGCCAGGCGAUGGUGAUCAAGUAGACGCUGUCUUCGAAGAUCAUGCACCUACACAAGCGAAAUCUUCGUCAAGGACGCAGUGAAGGUUAAGAAGCAGCGAAGCUGAGUAUGUGGGCCCCUUAAUGGUGACCUGUCCCUUGACGUGCGUCAAACGCCGUACUUACAUAGAUGAAAGGAGAGGCACGACUAGUCUCACCUCCACGAUGUUCAGCCUCGCAAGAUUCUGAAGCACCCUCGUGGUUGGUGAAACAAGCGCUAUUUCGCAGGAUUCCGAUUCGCCUACGCAAACCGACAGUGAGCGGUUGCUACGGAAUGCCUAUGAAGGAGGGCCUCCGAGGAGUCCGUUUAUUACUUCCUCAUCGGGAAAUCAAGAGCACAUCAACAAUGUUGCGGUGGUAGGCAAUCGGAACGUGCAUGAACAAAGUAUCGCGUCAAAUGAACAUGGUGCUGCUCCAGAACCCCUGCCUGAUUUCUCCGACGUCGUCGAGCCUCCGUCCAGCCCAGCUUCUCAAGUAACGCAGUCAUCGUACGAGAACAGCACCGCUCUUUCAGCAGCUCACGCGGCUGCAAUGACGGCGUUCCACCCAACAAGCAUAUUGGCGGCCCUACAGCGAGUGCGGCCGUUAUUCAACUUCCUCAUCAACACGCAUGGACAGCCGCAGGCUGCUUUGUCGGAAGCACGUGAGUCAGCAGAAGGAGAGCGUCUUUUCAUUGCAGGGUCAUCACAGCCGUUCUCACCUGUCAUCAUGUUCAAUGAAAGUAGUGAAAUCACAUUUGCUGCAUUGAGAUCUCGCACCCUAUAUGGUGAACACUGUCAGCGUUCAGCCCUUGACGUACCACUACCAGAGCCUUCAUCAGAUUCCACUACCAACACAGUUCUGAAUGGAACCCUCGGCGCACACAGUUCACGGAAGAGAAACGUAAGCGGCGCCUCUGGAGCACCAGAUGACGGUGCGCUUUCUUCACAGCAGGCGAGAGAGGACAACGCUCGGGACCCCACUGCGAACGCAAGAAAGCGUAUCGCAGGCCCGAGUUUGGAACGCUUGGUCGGCGCACAUACACGAAGGAUGACGCUCGGCCAGCAAAACGAAGCAAGCAUACGAGUGCGCGUUCCACCAGACCUCGAAGUCUUGGAACAAGGGUCCUGCCGCCUGUAGCUAAUGCUUGCCAAUGACGAAGCCGGAGUGGCGGAAGGAACACAUCAGCUUGCGGAAUGGGAAACGUUCACAAGGGCACUGCUGGCUGUUCACGUUUGUAUUCAGCGCUUGACCCUGAGCAUCUCGGCAGUGUCCAGUUCACCCAGACACUUCUACCGGAACUUCAGUUUGCGAGACGGAACCGCACUGAUUGACGUUGAAGUCUCUGCAUUUCGUGACCCGUGGAUAGACUUUGUGUUACCGUAUUUGCGUAACCUAUGUCGACUAAGAAUGGUUGAAUACGCUGAUAUAAGCUUUCAAGACGUCGCUCUCCUAAAUCGUGACGUCCGAGGAGAGGAGAUGUUCCGUGAAUUUCUUCAGAUGGAUGCUCGUCUCGAAUUGGACAUUAACAACAGAAACCUCGAACGAAUAUUGGAUGCUACCAGGGACAUGCCCUUUCUGCGCCAGCUCGUGAUAUACGUCAACAACGCUGGCACCGAACCAUGGGAGCCUCGAGAAAUCUCGCUGAACCUGACGCAACACUUUUGCACUGACGUUCGGAGGCUGAGGUACGAGGUCGACGCAACCUACGCCCACUUCCUGCGCUGCCAGUGCGCCAACAAUCGCGGCGUAUGCACAACGACCUGUGUUGAGACAGGCAUAAUACCGACACUCUGCGCCCGUCGCGAGCUGACAGGUUGCAAAGGUGACUUGGUGCCGUACGUAGUUAGUGUUACGCACCCUGCAAUGCUUGGUACUUACGUUAUGUAUGUGCUUUGCAUAGUUUGCAGGCGUGCCGAAGAAUAGCGUCAGUAGAUUUGAGAAUCAUAAGAGGGAUUAGAUGAACUGAAAAGGAUUUUGUAAGGUUAACGGCAAUUUUGAACAAGCGCAAAGGAGACCGUUAUCGCCGUUGUAUGGAACUGACAGCUUGUUUGUUCCAAGAGAGCAUUUUUAUACAUUGACAAACUGGCGUUUAUUUUGCGUUGAGGCAUGCGAAAAUGUAGGGACUCUAUCCACCUUUCGAAAUACAUUUUUGCUUGUGACAGGGCUAACAUUUCUAUUAAAAUAAGUCAUGCCGCUUGCGUGAAGCAAUGGUGAGCCUAACGCAAUAGAGAGUAAUCAUUGGAUGCCAGGUGAAAACACUUGUAAAUGUAUGUCUUCGGGUUAUGUGUAAUUGUAUUUCAGGAGAUGCGUUUAUGCAGUGACGGCUCGUUUAAAGCGAAACUGCGUCAAUGAAUGUCAGAGUGCUUGGAAAUGCUUCAAGAGCCGAUAUACAAUCUAUUAAAUCUAAACACAGUAGCCUCUUUGGAGUAGUAAUUGAUGUCCUUUUAUGAGAAGAGUAUUGAACGCCUCAUUAUAGACAGUGAAAAAGUAGACAUAUUUUAAUGCUCAUAU